Molecule: long non-coding RNA, 408 nt
Filed under: Setaria italica (foxtail millet)
Lineage: Eukaryota; Viridiplantae; Streptophyta; Magnoliopsida; Poales; Poaceae
Description: long non-coding RNA (SITA_LNC006511)
Source: RNAcentral
ACGACCCUGCCGCGCGUCUUCUCGUUCGCAUCCAACGCCGAGCUCGACAUGGCUGCGGAUGUGCUUGUGCUUGUGCUUGUGCGGCUUGAUCCGGCACGGCAGGAGUUAGGGGGACCGGAGAGCCUGUGCUGGUGCAGGAGCGGGUAGCCGGUGGGAUGGAGUUUUGCGCUAAGGCAGCAGGGAAGGACGGCGGCGGCCGCCGGCGGCCGAGCCGAUCCAAACCAGAGCCAGGUGCCCUUUUGCAAAUAUUCGGAUCGCGAUUAAGAGGGUUAUUUGUAAAAAACGUGGGGUAAUAUGAAAAUAAUCGGAAAUUAGGGGUUGUUUGUAAAAUCGGGGGGUAAUAUGAAAAUAAUCGGAUCGCGAUCCAAAGCAGGCGCUUCUUACAAAAUUCGGCGCCGCCGACGUCGG